GAUGAACGCUAGCGAUAGGCUUAACACAUGCAAGUCGAGGGGCAGCACAAGGUAGCUUGCUAUCUGGGUGGCGACCGGCGCACGGGUGCGUAACGCGUAUGCAACUUGCCCUAUACAGGAGGAUAACCCGUCGAAAGACGGACUAAUACUGCGUAUGCUCACAACUUGGCAUCAAGUGGUGAGGAAAGAAAUUCGGUAUAGGAUAGGCAUGCGUCCCAUUAGCUUGUCGGUGAGGUAACGGCUCACCAAGGCAACGAUGGGUAGGGGAACUGAGAGGUUUAUCCCCCACACUGGUACUGAGACACGGACCAGACUCCUACGGGAGGCAGCAGUGAGGAAGAUUGGUCAAUGGGCGCGAGCCUGAACCAGCCAAGUCGCGUGAAGGAUGACUGUCUUAUGGAUUGUAAACUUCUUUUAUACGGGAAUAACAAGAGUCACGGGUGACUCCCUGCAUGUACCGUAUGAAUAAGCAUCGGCUAACUCCGUG
RNAcentral lists this ribosomal RNA (487 nucleotides) under uncultured bacterium. RNAcentral describes it as "partial 16S ribosomal RNA". It matches the Rfam family "Bacterial small subunit ribosomal RNA", at positions 28 to 507 of the family's 1533-position model. The record is from RNAcentral.